Molecule: ribosomal RNA, 466 nt
Filed under: uncultured bacterium
Lineage: Bacteria
Description: partial 16S ribosomal RNA
Rfam family: Bacterial small subunit ribosomal RNA
Source: RNAcentral
GAUGAACGCUGGCGGCGUGCUUAACACAUGCAAGUCGAACGAUGAAGCCCAGCUUGCUGGGUGGAUUAGUGGCGAACGGGUGAGUAACACGUGAGUAACCUGCCCUUAGCUCUGGGAUAAGCCUGGGAAACUGGGUCUAAUACCGGAUAGGAGCGCCUACCGCAUGGUGGGUGUUGGAAAGAUUUAUCGGUUUUGGAUGGACUCGCGGCCUAUCAGCUUGUUGGUGAGGUAAUGGCUCACCAAGGCGACGACGGGUAGCCGGCCUGAGAGGGUGACCGGCCACACUGGGACUGAGACACGGCCCAGACUCCUACGGGAGGCAGCAGUGGGGAAUAUUGCACAAUGGGCGAAAGCCUGAUGCAGCGACGCCGCGUGAGGGAUGACGGCCUUCGGGUUGUAAACCUCUUUCAGUAGGGAAGAAGCGAAAGUGACGGUACCUGCAGAAGAAGCACCGGCUAACUACGUG